UGGGGAAUUUUGGACAAUGGGCGAAAGCCUGAUCCAGCAAUGCCGCGUGUGUGAAGAAGGCCUUCGGGUUGUAAAGCACUUUUGUCCGGAAAGAAAUCCUUGGCUCUAAUACAGUCGGGGGAUGACGGUACCGGAAGAAUAAGCACCGGCUAACUACGUGCCAGCAGCCGCGGUAAUACGUAGGGUGCAAGCGUUAAUCGGAAUUACUGGGCGUAAAGCGUGCGCAGGCGGUUUGCUAAGACCGAUGUGAAAUCCCCGGGCUCAACCUGGGAACUGCAUUGGUGACUGGCAGGCUAGAGUAUGGCAGAGGGGUAGGUAUGAUCCUACGUGUAGCAGUGAAAUGCGUAGAGAUGUGGAGGAAUACCGAUGGCGAAGGCAGCCCCCUGGGCCAAUACUGACGCUCAUGCACGAAAGCGUGGGGAGCAAACAGGAUUAGAUACCCUGGUAGUCCACGCCCUAAACGAUGUCAACUAGUUG
RNAcentral lists this ribosomal RNA (477 nucleotides) under uncultured bacterium. Its description in RNAcentral is "partial 16S ribosomal RNA". It matches the Rfam family "Bacterial small subunit ribosomal RNA", at positions 355 to 822 of the family's 1533-position model. The record is from RNAcentral.